GCCGCCGGCCAAGGGGCCCAAGCCGGAGAAGCCCCCGACCAAGGGCCACGGCCACAAGCCGGAGAAGCCGCCCAAGGAGCACAAGCCGACUCCGCCCACCUACACCCCGAGCCCCAAGCCCACGCCGCCGCCGGCUACUCCCAAGCCGACGCCGCCCACCUACACGCCGAGCCCUAAGCCCAAGUCGCCGGUCUACCCUCCCCCGCCGAAAGCCAGUACUCCUCCGACCUACACCCCGAGCCCCAAGCCUCCGGCGACCAAGCCGCCUACCUACCCGACCCCCAAGCCACCAGCUACCAAGCCUCCGACACCUCCUGUGUACACUCCGAGCCCCAAACCACCGGUUACAAAGCCUCCUACACCCAAGCCGACCCCGCCGGUGUACACGCCGAACCCCAAGCCACCGGUUACCAAGCCUCCGACACACACGCCGAGCCCCAAGCCUCCGACAUCCAAGCCGACUCCGCCGGUGUACACACCGAGCCCCAAGCCACCGAAGCCGUCCCCGCCGACGUACACGCCGACCCCGAAGCCACCGGCUACCAAGCCGCCCACCUCAACUCCGACGCACCCUAAGCCGACGCCGCACACGCCUAUCCCCAAGCCCACGCCGCCAACCUACAAGCCGGCACCGAAGCCGACGCCGCCGGCGCCCACCCCGCCGACAUACACGCCGCCGGUGUCGCACACCCCCAGCUCGCCGCCGCCGCCGCCGCCGCCGCCUUACUACUAGAC
RNAcentral lists this long non-coding RNA (735 nucleotides) under Sorghum bicolor (sorghum). RNAcentral describes it as "long non-coding RNA (SBIC_LNC011143)". Lineage: Eukaryota; Viridiplantae; Streptophyta; Magnoliopsida; Poales; Poaceae. The record is from RNAcentral.